This 425-nucleotide long non-coding RNA is filed under the name Capsella rubella. RNAcentral describes it as "long non-coding RNA (CRUB_LNC000908)". The record is from RNAcentral. Lineage: Eukaryota; Viridiplantae; Streptophyta; Magnoliopsida; Brassicales; Brassicaceae.
GAAAAUACUGAAAUUUUAAUUAUUCUUGGUAACAUAAAAAACGAGUUGUUGAUUUGGCAUUUCAGUGUCCACUUUCUCACGUAAAAAGAGAAUAUUAGUGAACAACAUAACACCAACAAAACUAAGCAGAACACGUACAUGAUUCCCCUUUCCCUAAAGGAAGAAUGUUUAAAGAAACUCUCUUUAAAAGAGGAAACUAGUGCAGCCAUAUAAUAUGUGGUUAGGUUGUGAGGCCAUGAGGUGUGGUUGGCUAGCAAGAUUAUACGAAGCCGACGUUGUAACAGAGGUCCACCAAGAAAAGUUUUCUGCUGAAUCCCACGAAACAGCUACAGCAACAAAGGUCUGACAAACGUCCAUUUUGGAUGGUGGUGACGUAACUUGACGAUGUCGGAUGCGGCUCCACCAUCUCCAUGACUGGACAAAAU